GAGAAUCAUGGGGAUUCAGUUGUUUGCUUGUCUUAUCGUAAUUUGAUGGCGGCCCUUGUCUCUCUGUACCAAUUUCCGGUAGUAGUUGUAUGGCAUCUCAAGGUCCUUCCUUUGGUGGAUGGAGCCAUGUUUGCUGUUGAAGUUUGGCUUGCCAGUUUGAGACAAUUGUAGCCGUUGAUGUUGGAUCCGUGAUGUGUUGGAUUGGAAUGUUCUUGCCACAAUUAUGCCACAUGCCUGAUGGGUAAUUUGUAUCAUUAUUUCUUCCAUCGUUAUUUUUUACUCUUCUGCUCAACUUAUUCGAUAGACUUGGAGUGACUUCUGUUUUUCUUUUCUUCACUUAAGCGACACCUACAGGGCAAAUGGUUUUGAGUGAGUCCAACUAACAAAUGUCCAACUUAGGUAGCAGGGUUGGUAUGCUUGUCAGUUUAAUGGGCCCCAUCAGGCCUUUAUCGAGCACUGCAAUUUUGCUAAGCAUAAGGGUUACCUCCUAUGCCGGCGCGAGCACCUAGCUGGUCACCGCGCAGCCGUCUGAGCCAUCCUGCGCCGUUGGAUGCCUCCCCCGAAUCGUCUCCUUAUAGCUUGGCCAACACAUUGCUACACUGCUGUCGUGUGCUUGCCGUCAGUCCUCGUUGUCGGCCUGCUCGUUCGCUUGUAGCUGAGGCCGUCGGGUGACACUUGCAACAGCCAUUGCAUGGAGCUCGUUGUGCCUCCACCCCCUUGGCUGCCGCAUCGCCAGGUGGGUUUCCAGCAUCGCCACCAGUCGUCGUCAUAGUAUGCCGCGCGCCCGUCGCAGUACCCAUUGUUUUGCCACGCAAUUCCCGUUGUCGCCGCUCACCAUCGUUAGCUUGCUGUCUUCGGUUGAAACUUUUUCAGAAGCUGGUUCAAGCUUUCUUGGCCGCUGGUUGCAACUUUUUGUGGUUGCCUCGUCUAAGGUUGAAACUUUCUCCAGUUGAAACUUUUUCAAAAGCAGGUUGUAGCUUUCUUACCCGCUGGUCGUAGCAUUUUAAAAUCCUAGUUGCAGCUCCUCCACGCGACGAUCACAACCCCUACUUUCUCUGGUCCCUGCAAAAAAUAACGACGCCGAUCAUAGCAUUUGGUGCUGCUAGUUGCAGCUCCAAUGCAUGCUGAUCGCAACCCCUGCUCUCUCUAUUUCCAGCAAAAAAUGGCGCCGUAACAAUUGGUGGCUUGGCGCACCGGUUGCAGGUCCCCUAUCAAGUUCGCUGGGAUACGGUGCCCACACUUGUAGCGGACGGUCCCAACAUCCGCGGUAGCCGAUUCCAGCAUCGGUAGCACGUGGGGUCACCCAUGGUCUUGAUAAGGACAUGAAAACCAUUCAACCCUUAGAGUCGAGGGUGACUCCUUUUCAAGAGGGGGAUGAUGAUGAGGACAUCCCAGCUAUGGAUACCACACCAACAAUCAUCAACGGUCCAAUCACAAGAAGUCGUGCAAUGCAAGUACAUGAUCAGGUGAACGCUAACUUAAGUUUAUCUUUUGACCUUGAAAACAUGGUUGUGCCUUCACCUCCUUUGUUGUUGGUUGAACACAGGUGAAAUAUCGAAGAAGGCCAAACACAUAUCAGUCCAUGCAAAACAAUGUUUUAUGGCGAAGAAACAAAGUUAGGAGUUCAUGAAGAAAUGAGUUUUCUGCUUAAGAAACAUUGUUCCGAUUCUUACGAAACAAUGUUUUGCACGGGUUUGGAUAUCCCAACUUGCGAAAGGUUUCCAGAACCCGACUAUGCUGUUGAAGGAAACAUUGUUCGACUCCAGUGAACAAUGUUUGGUUGGGAACUGCCAACCACCUCCAACGGGAGUUUUCCAGAAGCUACCUCAUUAAGUCUCAAAGCCAUUUUAGUCAAACCAAAGCUGGUUCUCUUUCACACCUAAGCUGGUUCCCUAAGCUAGUUUGUUUCCACACCUAUCCAGGGGGGUUGUCCCGAUUAUAAAUAGGCUAGCUCUUCCCUUCGUUGGGGACUUUUGCCAUUUCUAUCAAAGACCAAAGACAUAGACUCCUCCUGAGAUUGGAGAGCUCUUGUUAUCCUUAUUCUCGUGAUUCCUUGAGAAAUUGCUCCUAGUUCGUGCUCCACGACUAGAUCGUGUUGUGUGGAUUAGAGUUCAUGGUUUCCCUUGCGGAUUGCACCUAUCCCGUGCUCCACGACUUGAGUGUGGUUGUGUGGGAUAGUAUUGCGGGUUGUGGAUCGGCGAAUGUUCGGAUUGCGAACUUCGGUGAGCCUCCUCCUCGUCGGGUCAUAAUCUCUUAUUUUCUAUUUUUUGGCUGCUUGCAGCUAGUUAUCCCCAUCCAUUUAUCGGUCCUACGCCGUGAAAAU
This 2323-nucleotide long non-coding RNA is filed under the name Triticum aestivum (bread wheat). RNAcentral's name for it is "long non-coding RNA (TAES_LNC014701)". Lineage: Eukaryota; Viridiplantae; Streptophyta; Magnoliopsida; Poales; Poaceae. The record is from RNAcentral.